This 8474-nucleotide long non-coding RNA is filed under the name Brassica rapa (field mustard). RNAcentral's name for it is "long non-coding RNA (BRAP_LNC003261)". Lineage: Eukaryota; Viridiplantae; Streptophyta; Magnoliopsida; Brassicales; Brassicaceae. The record is from RNAcentral.
GUGCGAUCUUGAAAACUUCUUGAAUUGCGUUCAUAGUUUGAGCCGGAGGUAUCCACCCGAUUGCGCUGAAAAUAUCUUUUUGGAAUAGGUUUUGACUGUAGAAAGCGAUGUCGAGAAGGAACCAUGUUGAUGUAGUUCCUAGCAAAUGAAGUCCAUGGCGUUUCAUAAAUUCCUUGGAAAACAAGGAAAAGGCUUUGGACUUAUUACUUGAGAUCUCUUCCACUUUCUCCUGUUCUGCCUCUAUCUCCACUUGAAGAACCCUAGACAUGUCUGAAGCAGCCAGCUUUGCGUCCUUAGCAACCAAAGCUGUGUAUCUUGCGGUUUCAGGCAUCUUGGACCUUGAGUAAUACGUCAUGGCCGCAGGGAUAGCACCAACCAUCAAGAUUAUACGCCAUACAAGAUCUGCUUGAGGUACCGUGGAUCUCAAGGCAUCUUCCGCAUAGGCCGGGGCAGGGAACUUAGCUUCAAAAGCAGAGGAAAUGAUUAUAGCAAAGAUGCCACCAGCCAUGAUCCCAAACCCUUGCAUAGCGAAAACCGCAGAAACAAACGCGCCACGAGUUUUCUUGUUAGCGUAUUCAGACAUGAUUGUUGCGGACAAAGGAUAGUCACCACCAAUCCCAAACCCUAGCCAAAACCUAAAGAAACAUAGCGUGGCCAUCACGGCUUUUGGCUCGUGUCCGAAAGAGAGACCAGAGGCGACAGAGCAAAGGACCAUGACCAUCAACGUCAUUCCAUAAACUUUCUUCCUCCCGAGCUUAUCUCCAAGCCACCCGAAAAAGAGUUGACCGGCUAGGGUUCCACAGAAGGCGACGCCGUUCACGGCAGCAGCAACAUUGGGAGGGAGAGUCCCUGGCUUUGCGGAGCCUGGGACGUGGUAGUAAAUGCGGCCAAGGAGCUUGGUGACAAGAGAGAUGCAGAAGAGAUCGUAAGCGUCGGUGAAGAAUCCCAUUCCGGCGAUUAUGAUGGCUGUAAAAUGGUACCAUUGCGUCUUCGCUACAUCGAGUGCAUUCAACACUUUUAACUGAUCCCCAGCCAUUCUUGUUCACCUCUGUAAUUUCAUCAAGAACUCAAUAUUAGCAAAUUUUAGUAGUAUGAAUCAUAUAAGAACGACUGCUCGUAGAUUUUCAAAUAAUAGUAAAAACUAUCUCUUGGAACUAAGAAAGAGUUCGUUACAAACAUUAAAGCACUUGGCCAACUUGGAAUUAAGUUAGGCAAUUUUAAAAGCAAAAGAAUUAAAUAUUUAAACCCCACUUGAAAUUUAAUGUUAUACUAUAGUAUAUGAGUUUUAUUUCUCAUUUCUCAUUUCUCAUUUCGUUUAUCUCAUAAUCAUAAGCCAAAAAGUAUGUUGACCUAAAUAAGAAAGAAAAAAAAAAGUAAGGUAUGUUAAUCAAGCCUGAAGUAAGGUGGUAACUGGCGAUUCUAAAGCCAUUAGUAAACUACAUAGUCUACAUGUAAAAUAACUUAAUUAUAAGCAUUCACAUAAUAUAAAAGAAAAUGAAGGGAUGACAAAUGUCAAGUGUUUUAUUUAUUAUUAAACCGUAUUAUGCAGAAAUGAAAGUAACUAAGUAUGUAACUUGUUUUCAAAAAAUUGAUUCCAAGAUUUUCGACUUUUCCAAAAUAAAUUAAUAAUUGAUUAUAUUAUUUUGGUUUCUUCACUCGUACGUAACAAAUCUUUUAAAGUAAACGAGGAAAUGGGAGGUCUAUAUAUUUAUAUGAAUUUUCAACGAUUACUAUAUUAUCUUUACUCUAUAGUCACCCACGAAGGUUGACUUGUGACAUUUGAAUCUGAACACGAUACCAAAAUUUCUCACGAGUAAGAGAGCAAGUUGUUUUGUCUUAAUUGCGGAUACACUUACUCCUCAAAUUAAAUACGGAGUAUAGUUUUUCCUCUUAUUGAAGACAUUAUAUUUUUAUUUUCUUUUUAUUAGAGUAACAUAAUUUUCGUUAUUUAUGUGCUUGUAAAUCAUCUGAUUCAUGCACUUAUAAAAAAUGUCUAUAUUAAGGCAGAGAUAAGAUCAAACAAAUACGUUUUCAAGAAAACGAAUCCUAAUUAAUGAUCCAGAAAAUUGGAAAACAUAAUUUGAAUUUUUUUUUUAAAGCAACAAUAAGAGAAUCACAAACAAAUGAAGCUCAGAUUGAUCCAAAAUCACUACUGACAAAUACCUAACCGAGAUAGAAGAGGCAGAAUGGACAAAAUAACAUCAUUCAGCAACCAUACAAUUGCCAAAUUUUAUAUAAACAUCCGAAAACAUAAUGAAAAGAAAAACGUACAUGAAUAUACAACAGUCUUCUUGUUAUGUGUGUGGGAUAUGAUAUGAUCAAGUGUUUAAGGUAUAUGUCAGAAGAGUGCAGAGAGAAAGGUCCUCUAGUUUCCUCUAUUUCUGGGGAAAAUGAAGAGAGAUGGAAGGAGAGGAAGUGAAAUGAGCGUUGAAGCUGUUGAUGAACAAGGACAAAGUGCAAGCGUUUUGAAACGACCAUUUAUAAGCGACUCUAUAAGAGAUAUUCCAUUUUAUGUUUCGGUAUAUUCUCCCUCUAGCGACGCCGUUUUCUAUCUUCAAUAUUUUUUCUCUCUUUUUAUUACAACUUUUAUUUCGCUGUAAUUAUUCUUUUAUUAUCUAAAAACAGCUGUUUUACUAUAAUAAUAAGUUCUUGUUUUGUACUUGUAAUUGACCAUGAACUGUACUUAGAUACGGAGGUUUUGAUGUAUUUUUAUAAUAUUAAAUUGGGAUCUUCAACAUUAAGUACAAUCACUAGAUACCUAUUCUCUGGCAUGCUAUUUAGGCAGAUAUAAAAUUUAAAUCAUAAUAGAGUCAAAAUAGGGGUUAAAAAAUGAGAGACUUACAUAAAAAGACACAUUGUGAGUUUUGUUUACUCUAUAAGACACAAAGCAACUUUGACACACUUUUUCCUGCCAGCUGUCUUUAUUGAGACGGAAAUAACCUUGGUUAUUACUAAAGAGAAAUAUACUUAUUUUAAGGAAGCAAACCGAAAAAGAACCAGUUACCUUGUAAUUGCAAUAAAGGAUAAAGCAAUAAAACAAAAAAUUAGAUAUAUGAGUUUAUGAGAAUAUAUCGUGAACGUCAGAUCAUUUUGAAGAAAGCAAAUCCAACGAUCCGGAGAUGUGUUGAUUUGUGGGCGAGUUUUUGUGGACGAAUUCUCAUGGACAAGGUUUCUCGUAGACAAUUUGUGGACACCAUAUAUGUGGACAAACAAAUUGGUAGACAAGAGAAGCGUUGAUAACAUGAUUUUAUCGAAUGUUAUAGAAAAUAAUUGCCUUCUUUGUCUGUCUAAGAAAAAAAUGAGAAUUGUUUAUUAACUUCUUGUAUACUCGAUUUAGAUAUUUAUAAAUUGAAUAAAGAAGAAAUUUUUUUGUGAAUCAAUGAAUUAUGGAUCUAAUUCGUCAUUUAGUAAAAUUUCUCUAUAAAAUCAUUCAUCAUUCAUCAUUAUCAUGAAACAACGAUUAAGCUUUUCUGUGGACACAAUUCAGUGGUCGAACACACUUCUGUGGACACAGUUUAUGUGGACGUGAAAAUGUUACAAAAUUUUCUGUGGACACCGUAUCUACCACCACCUUUUCCACCUCAUGUCUUCCACCUCAUAUUCACAUCCACCACCACAACAUCCACCAACACGGCAUCCACCACCACUUCCUCCUCCUCGCAUCUUCCACCUUUGUAUCCACAUCCACCACAACAGCAUCCACAGCCACGACAUCCACCACCACAUCCUCCUCCUCACGUCUUCCACCUCCGUAUCAACAUCCACCACCAUAGCAUCCACCAUCACGGCAUCCAUAAUCACCACCAGCUCUUCAUCCUCACGUCUUCCACCUCUGUAUCCACAUCCACCACAACGGCAUCCACCACCACCUCCUCCUCUCGAGUAGCCACCUCCACCACUGUUUUUACCCUCAUGAACCAAGAUAAAAAAUCAGACAAGAAAUUAACUUUCCAUAUAUGAAUCUGUUAGAUAUAUCUAUGAAAUUAGGAACAUAGAGUUAUGAUUGAGAAUGGAUUGGAGUUUCUGAAUUCAUGGUGUGACUCACCAAUGGUCGAGUAUGAAGAGUUGGCGGAACAGUUUCAGAUCGAAUAAAAGCUAGAAGUGGAGACAUAAAGCUUCAACAAAGUGAUGGAGAUGUCGAAUUUGAGAAAGUGGAUUAGGGUUCGGAUCGAUCUGUAGUUUUAGUAGAAGUUGGUAAAGAGCCAAAAUUAGGGUUCAUAUCUGGGGGUAAUCGAUUUUGAAAAGGGGAUCUGUCUUACAAAAGUGAAAAAGAUUUUAUUAUAUUUCGAAAUUUUUUAUUUUCCUCACUAGUUUUCUAAUCGUUAUAAUGAAAAUGAGAAAAUCGGUUGGUUCAGUUUCUUGGUUUACGAUCUAGUUAGACACUUAUCCAAUAGUUAUUCUUUACAUAGAUAAGGGGUAGUUAUGACAAUUUACUAAGAGAAAGUGUCUACUUGGGCCAAAGUGUCUAUGAGAGUAAUUCAUAACUUGGAAUGUGUCUCUGAGAGUAAAUUUCUCUUAAAAAAUUCUAACAAAAUGAAUUCAGUUAGCAUUUAGCAGUGUGGUCAGACUUUGGUUACUUAUAAAAAACUACACUAUGUUUGCCUAAUUCGAGACAAUCAUUUAAUUUUAAAAUAUUAGAAUUUGAUGACACACUAUCUUAUAAAGUUGUAAUAAUAACUUUUAAUUUGAAUAAAAAUAAACUUAGGGACGUGAACAAAAGUAUUUAGACGAAGAAAUCAACAUUGAUACAACAAGCAGUUAUUUUACGGCAAAAAGUUAUUUUAACAAUUUUUAAAAAAAAAUUAGUGAUUUUUGAUAUGUACAAAACUUUUUUAAAGUGAAAGAAGAGUAACUGCAUGAUAUCUAUAUCUACAGAGUACAUACUACAAUGUCAACUGUACUUAUUUGGGUAUGGCCAGGCCGUAUGGGAAUAACACCUAUUGUAAGGCUCAUCACUUGUGGAAUGGUAUGUUUCGUAUCUGACAAGUAAGAGACUUUAAUGCAUUUCCAGAAAUACAAGUGUAUCUUGCUUAGUUGUUUUAGCCCAGCAAGCUACCUUCUUUCUCUUCCGUGACCCAACAAGUUUUUUUUUCAUGGCAUCUUAAUUUCCAUCUAUUAUUAUUAUGUAGUAAUAUUUUAUACAAUAAUGACCCUCGUUUUUAAUGAUUUAUAAAAUAAUUCAAUGGUGUUAAAAAAAAUACAAUAAUACUACUCCCUCCGUUCCCUAAAAUUACAUAUUAUAGAGAAAAAUCUUGUUUCAAAAAAAUCUAUUUUUUACAUUUUCAAUACAUAUUUUAUUAAUUAAUUGCAAACUUCAAAAAACUUAAUUGCACUAGUUGAAUUUUUAUUGGUUUAAAAUUAUGAAAAAAGAUAAACACAAAAAAAUAUAUAAAUUUAAUAUGUUUUAUUAAAAUGUGUGAAAAAUUUAGAAUAUGUAAUUUUAAGGAACAGAGAGAGUAUUUAGUAAUGCUCUAUAGUCUAUAUACAUGUCUUUCACGUGAAAUAAUUUCGUGAUGGAGUUAUACAAUCACAAUUUCUUUUCAUUUGGCGAAAACAUUAUGAAAUCUACACCAGUUGAUUUCAUAAUCUAUUUUAUUAAAGAAGACCCAAAACUGAAAUGUUUGAUCCAUAAAAAUGCUGGUUUAUGGUACACUAAAAACAUAUUGGAAUAAUAAUGCAUAUCUAUCUGCUGCUAAACCGUUUCGAUUACAUAGCAAAACGCAUAAAAUGGUAAACAAAUUUACAACUAAUAUAGUACGUAUGCUACGUUGAAAAAAUCACAUAAGCACAUGAAAUUAGCUACAGACUUACGAGCUACAUAUUUCCAAGCUUCUACAGAUGGAAAAUUGUCAACCUGAUUGCUCAACUAUCAUUCAAUUUUCAUGACAUUUCAAGAUGUUAUUCCUUCAAUUCAUGAUGACUUUUGUUGUAAAAACACAAGAUUUCAAGGCCUUACGUUCUUCGCAUGGUGCAAAAACGAUAUUUAUUUUUAGAUGAUAUGAUGGAUUAUGGGUUCCUGUGUUCGACCGAUGAUUACGAUCCCAAAGCGAUUUUUUUUGAGAAUAGUAAAAAUGUUUUGAUUUCCUCGUUACUUACUUAUAAAUUAUUAGUAUAUUUUAGAAACUUGGUUUCAAAAAACUGUUUAUAAAUUAUUGUAUUCUUUUAUUUUCUUCCUGCCUAGACGUUAGCAAGUAGUACCAACAAACAAAAUAUAUUAAAAUUGAUGGCUUGACUCUAUCCAUAUCAGAGUUGACUAAUUAAAUGUUGAUGUCUUUGGUAUGACAUAUUACGUCGAUGUGUUGAAAUGUUUUUUUUUUUUUUGAUAAAGGGCUUGCUAUUAACUUAAAAGAGAAAACGUACAUAAAGACUACAGCCCAGCCAGGCAUUUGUUUCUUGGGUCUAGCCCAUUAGUUAAAGACAACAAAAAGAAAUCCUUUUAGGAGGCCCAUUUUAAGAAACCAGUCGAGAAAGAGGGGAAUUGUCGAUACAUCUUCGUUAUGAGUCAUGCAGAGAUUCGGCGAGACCAGCUGAGAGAGAUGAAGUGCGAACCUGAGCCCGGAAUGCUGAAAGAGGGAGUUCUUCAUGGUGAAGACAUCCAAAUAUUGAAGAGCGCUGAUGAGAGAGGUGGUGAGGAUAAUCUGAUGGAGGCAAUUUUUGUUCUGAUGGUAGAGAUGACCAGAGAAGAGAUUGAGUCCGGUGAUCGGAAUGUAUUGCGGUGGAGGCGGUUGUUUCUCUCAGUCCAGAUGAGGUAGAUCACACAUUGCCAAGUGAGGAGACAGAGUAGCUUAUGUCUGUUAUUGCUUGUAAAGGUGACUUCUCUGUCCAUAAUUCCAUCGUUCACAUUGGACGGAUCCUUUUUCUAGUUACGGAAGGUCUAAUCAAUUAAUCACACGAUUAUUAUGUAAAUUAUAUGUCUGUUAGAUGAAGCAUUUAAUCCUCUGCAUCCACACAUGGAGACCACUAAUAGCAAGCGAAAACGAAUAAUGAUGUUAGAUGAAGCGUUUAAUCCUCUGCAUCCACACAUGGAGACCAUUAAUAGCAAGAGAAAACGAAUACAAUCCUAGUACCCUUCACAUCAUGAGAUUAUAACCAGUUUUUUGGAGUUGAUUUUGAAACGUUUAGACUUUAUUAAAGUAUAUGAGUACAAAUUAGAGCAUCCCCCUAAGAGGAAAAGCUUGAUAAAUAGAUUGAGGACCACAAGAAGUUGUGGCUCCGGCGUUAUCUUAUCAUUAAUGUUUGAUUCAUGUAGAAAAAUAUAUACAAGAUAUUUUGAAUUUAUGCCUAGUCCAUCAAUCUAUGCUACUCCAUUCAUCCAUAUGUAAAAUCCGAAAGGAUUAUUAAAAUUUAUUGACCAUGUGUAACUCAUAAAUCUUAGGUUUGUAACAAUCAAUUCACCAUUCAGAUAUUUAACUACUAAUUCAGUAAUUAUUAUUCGGCACUGGAUUUCAGUAACUACCUCACUUGUUGCAUUAAUAAAAAAACAAUGAAGAAGAACAUUUCUUUUUAAAAUCGAUACACAAACAUUUUGAUUUCAAUAGCGUUAGAACAUCAAAAUAUCAAACAUCAAAAUAUCAAAAUAUCAAACGAAGAACAACUUAAGUUGAUAGAAACAAAAAGACUUAUUAAAUCAAACUACACAAUGGGGACCGUUCUACUAUCACUUGUUGUGUUCUCAUUGUCUUCAUUUUCACCGGACAUUUCCUCGAGCGACUUCCCUUUAGAUUCAGGCACCAAGAAAGUGAAGAGGAUGCCCAAGAAGUUAACAACACCUAACACGAGAAGCGAGUUUCUGACUCCAAUCCCUGGAGGAUAUCCUGCGUCUGUCUUGUUCUUGUCAGGGCUUUGAGCCAAGUACAAGAAUCCAAAGGCACCAACCAUGGCACCUAACUUUCCUGAUGCAGCAGAGAUACCAUGGCAGGUAGAUCUGAACCUGGCUGGGAAGAUCUCCGCCGGUACAACGAAGGUUGUAGCAUUGGGUCCAAAGUUAGCAAAAAAGAACGUCAAAGAGUACAUGAUAACGAAUCCAAUUCGGUUCUCCUUGUGAGUCCAGUGGUUGUACGGAAUAGCCAAAGCAAACAUAAACACCGUCAUGAAGAAGAAUCCCAUCAUCUGAAUCGCAAACCUUCCAAUGACGUCUAUAAAAGCAACUGUGAACCAGUAACCAGGUACCGUGCUACACAAGGCAAUGAGAGUUUGCGCGCGUGCAAUCUUGAAAACUUCUUGAAUCGCGUUCAUGGUUUGAGCCGGAGGUAUCCACCCUAUUGCGCUGAAAAUAUCCUUCUGGAAAAGGUUUUGACUGUAGAAAGCGAUGUCGAGAAGGAACCAGGUGGAUGUAGUACCUAGCAAAUGAAGCCCAUGGCGUUUCAUAAAUUCCUUGGAAAACAAGGAAAAGGCUUUGGACUUAUUACUUGAGAUCUCUUCCACUUUCUCCUGUUCUGCCUCUAUCUCCACUUGCAGAACCCUAGACAUGUCUG